UUAACUAAAGAGUUUGAUUAUGGUUCGGAUCGAACGCUGGCGGCAGGCCUAACACAUGCAAGUCGAGCGGCAGCGGAAAGGAGCUUGCUUCUUUACCGGCGAGCGGCGGACGGGUGAGUGAUGUCUAGGGAUCUGCCCGAUGGCGGGGGAUAACUAUUGGAAACAAUAGCUAAUAC
This 176-nucleotide ribosomal RNA is filed under the name Sodalis-like symbiont of Bactericera trigonica. Its description in RNAcentral is "partial 16S ribosomal RNA". It matches the Rfam family "Bacterial small subunit ribosomal RNA", at positions 1 to 169 of the family's 1533-position model. Lineage: Bacteria; Pseudomonadati; Pseudomonadota; Gammaproteobacteria; Enterobacterales; Bruguierivoracaceae. The record is from RNAcentral.